This is a non-coding RNA of Geotrichum reessii, 95 nucleotides long. Lineage: Eukaryota; Fungi; Ascomycota; Dipodascomycetes; Dipodascales; Dipodascaceae. The record is from the annotation of a GenBank genome assembly.
GCUUUGUUAGCUCAGUUGGUAGAGCGUAAGUCUCAUGUGUACUUAUUUAAUAGCGUCAUCUGAAGGUCGAGAGUUCUAGCCUCUCACACGUAGCA